UAGUCCACGCCGUAAACGAUGUGUGCUAGUUGUCGGGUCCAUAGGAUUCGGUGACGCAGUUAACGCACUAAGCACACCGCCUGGGGAGUACGGUCGCAAGAUUAAAACUCAAAGGAAUUGACGGGGACCCGCACAAGCGGUGGAGCAUGUUGUUUAAUUCGACGCAACGCGAAGAACCUUACCUACACUUGACAUACUCGUCGGGACUUUCAGAGAUGAUUGUCUUCGGUUCGGCCGGACGAUGUACAGGUGCUGCGUGGCUGUCGUCAGCUCGUGUUGUGAAAUGUUGGGUUAAGUCUCGCAACGAGCGCAACCCCUAUCUUUAGUUGCCAGCAUUAAGUUGGGCACUCUAGAGAGACUGCCCGGGUUAACCGGGAGGAAGGUGGGGAUGGCGUCAAGUCCUCAUGGCCCUUACAAGCUGGGCUACACACGUGCUACAAUGGCGAUGACAGUGGGCAGCGACCCCGCAAGGGUGAGCUAAUCUCCAAAAGUCGUACUCAGUUCGGAUUGCU
This 512-nucleotide ribosomal RNA is filed under the name uncultured bacterium. RNAcentral describes it as "bacterial SSU rRNA". It matches the Rfam family "Bacterial small subunit ribosomal RNA", at positions 791 to 1302 of the family's 1533-position model. The record is from RNAcentral.